UACGUAGGGUGCGAGCGUUAAUCGGAAUUACUGGGCGUAAAGGGUGCGCAGGCGGCCAAGUGUGUUAGGCGUGAAAGCCCGGGGCUUAACCCCGGAAUUGCACCUAAAACUACAUGGCUAGAGCAUUGGAGAGGGUAGCGGAAUUCACGGUGUAGCAGUGAAAUGCGUAGAUAUCGUGAGGAACACCAGAGGCGAAGGCGGCUACCUGGACAAUUGCUGACGCUCAGGCACGAAAGCGUGGGGAGCAAAAGGG
RNAcentral lists this ribosomal RNA (253 nucleotides) under uncultured bacterium. RNAcentral describes it as "partial 16S ribosomal RNA". It matches the Rfam family "Bacterial small subunit ribosomal RNA", at positions 524 to 776 of the family's 1533-position model. The record is from RNAcentral.